GAUGAACGCUGGCGGCGUGCCUAAUACAUGCAAGUCGAGCGAACAGAUGAGGAGCUUGCUCCUCUGACGUUAGCGGCGGACGGGUGAGUAACACGUGGAUAACCUACCUAUAAGACUGGGAUAACUUCGGGAAACCGGAGCUAAUACCGGAUAAUAUAUUGAACCGCAUGGUUCAAUAGUGAAAGACGGUUUUGCUGUCACUUAUAGAUGGAUCCGCGCCGCAUUAGCUAGUUGGUAAGGUAACGGCUUACCAAGGCAACGAUGCGUAGCCGACCUGAGAGGGUGACCGGCAACACUGGACCUGAGACACGGUCCAGACUCCUACGGGAGGCAGCAGUAGGGAAUCUUGCGCAAUGGGCGAAAGCCUGACGGAGCAACGCGGCGUGAGUGAUGAAGGUCUUCGGAUCGUAAAACUCUGUUAUUAGGGAAGAACAAAUGUGUAAGUAACUAUGCACGUCUGGACGGUACCUAAUCAGAAAGCCACGGCUAACUACGU
RNAcentral lists this ribosomal RNA (496 nucleotides) under uncultured bacterium. Its description in RNAcentral is "partial 16S ribosomal RNA". It matches the Rfam family "Bacterial small subunit ribosomal RNA", at positions 28 to 506 of the family's 1533-position model. The record is from RNAcentral.